AAGGGAAUGAAGUUCUCCCGUAGCGCGAUCGCUAAAACCGCUUUGUAAGCUGAUGACUUCUGCAUU
RNAcentral lists this non-coding RNA (66 nucleotides) under human gut metagenome. RNAcentral's name for it is "Fluoride riboswitch". It matches the Rfam family "Fluoride riboswitch aptamer (crcB RNA motif)", at positions 8 to 61 of the family's 64-position model. The record is from RNAcentral.